RNAcentral lists this non-coding RNA (23 nucleotides) under Arabidopsis thaliana (thale cress). Lineage: Eukaryota; Viridiplantae; Streptophyta; Magnoliopsida; Brassicales; Brassicaceae. The record is from RNAcentral.
AAGCGGACUGCCACUAAUUUGCC